CCUACGGGGGACAGCAGUAGGGAAUCUUCCACAAUGGGCGAAAGCCUGAUGGAGCAACGCCGCGUGGGUGAAGAAGGUCUUCGGAUCGUAAAACCCUGUUGUUAGAGAAGAAAGUGCGUGAGAGUAACUGUUCACGUUUCGACGGUAUCUAACCAGAAAGCCACGGCUAACUACGUGCCAGCAGCCUCGGUAAUACGUAGGUGGCAAGCGUUAUCCGGAUUUAUUGGGCGUAAAGGGAACGCAGGCGGUCUUUUAAGUCUGAUGUGAAAGCCUUCGGCGUAAACGGAGUAGUGCAUUGGAAACUGGGAGACGUGAGUGCAGAAGAGGAGAGUGGAACUCCAUGUGUAGCGGUGAAAUGCGUAGAUAUAUGGAAGAACACCAGUGGCGAAAGCGGCUCUCUGGUCUGUAACUGACGCUGAGGUUCGAAAGCGUGGGUAGCAAACAGGAUUAGAUACCCUAGUAGUC
Molecule: ribosomal RNA, 465 nt
Filed under: uncultured bacterium
Lineage: Bacteria
Description: partial 16S ribosomal RNA
Rfam family: Bacterial small subunit ribosomal RNA
Source: RNAcentral